GCCUUUAUCACCCUUCAGUCAUAGUGACUCUUGAGGAAUACAUCUGGUUUUCUCUUUCAGCAGCUCUGAAAAGCAAUUUCUAUCUCCAAGCUAAAUAUGAAGAUGCCUCAUGUCCCCAUCUGCCACCUUGAGUCGGUGCUCACAACGAAGCCAACAGAGUUGAACAGAUAUCAAAACAUGGAAAGAAAGAGCUGGACCCUGGCUGAAAGCCUGAGGUGUAGUCAUCUUCACUAUGCUCCAGCAUUCUGAAUAAGGAUGAAAAGUAGGUCUUCCAUGAAAAGUCACCUCUCUCACUAACAUCCUGUGGCAGCGAGUUUUGUAAGCUCUCCACAGAAUAUAUCCGUUUAAUUGUUUGCUUUUUGCUAUUCUUCUACAUGCACUGAGUUCUGUUGGUUUGUCUUUUCAGGAUAAAGCAAGCCAUGGUGAUAUCCUCUAUCAGAAUAUAAACUUGCAACACACAACUUGUUUUGGACCAGUGGAGACCUCUGUCUCCAGCUGCAGCUCUAACAGAAAUAACAAUGAAUAUAAUAAAUGACAAGUACAAGACA
Molecule: long non-coding RNA, 548 nt
Filed under: Anser brachyrhynchus (Pink-footed goose)
Lineage: Eukaryota; Metazoa; Chordata; Aves; Anseriformes; Anatidae
Description: lncRNA (ENSABRG00000009280.1)
Source: RNAcentral